GAUGAACGCUAGCGGCAGGCUUAAUACAUGCAAGUCGUGGGGCAGCAUGAGUGUAGCAAUACAUUUGAUGGGGACCGGCAAACGGGUGCGGAACACGUACACAACCUUCCUUCAAGUGGGGAAUAGCCCAGGGAAACUUGGAUUAAUACCCUGUAAUAUUAUGGAGUGGCAUCACUUUAUAAUUAUAGCUCCGGCGCUUGAUGAUGGGUGUGCGCCUGANAGGUAGUUGGCGGGGUAACGGCCCACCAAGCCUUCGAUCAGUAACUGGUGUGAGAGCACGACCAGUCACACGGGCACUGAGACACGGGCCCGACCUCCUACGGGAGGCAGCAGUAAGGAAUAUUGGUCAAUGGACGCAAGUCUGAACCAGCCAUGCCGCGUGGAGGAUGAAGGUCCUCUGG
This 401-nucleotide ribosomal RNA is filed under the name uncultured bacterium. RNAcentral's name for it is "bacterial SSU rRNA". It matches the Rfam family "Bacterial small subunit ribosomal RNA", at positions 28 to 422 of the family's 1533-position model. The record is from RNAcentral.